GACACCUCAAGAACAUCAGAGAAUAACAGCAGGGAAAUGAUUUACACUUUAAUGGUUAAUGACAAACCUAUGAUAAUUUUGACUUAAAUUCCCUUUAACAUUUUCUGAAUGCCAUACCCCUAUGCUCAGAAAAAGUAUCUGAAUGCAUGCAUUACAGGGCUUUUUCUUCAUUUGAAAAAUUAUUUUAUUAUUCACCUCUAAUUUUUUAUUUUAACACUCUAAAAUAUUCUACUUAGUAAUUGACUUAGGAUGCUGCAUUAUGUGAAGUGAUGAACUUCUUGGUUCUGAUCAAGAAUGUACACUGUAUUUCAAUGUGUUUUCUUACAUAUGAAAAAUGCAGUAUGUUCUCUCUGAAUAUCAAAUGUGUUCUGUUAUGUGUCUGUUUUCAAUUAUUUAACAUUAAGAAGGCUAAGUAUACUAUUAUAGGUUAUAAAUUUAUAAAAGUUCAUUUGCUUUUCUUAUAUUUAUAUGUGAUAUAUUUCCAAAUAAUAAAAUUUACUGUCAUGG
Molecule: small RNA, 507 nt
Filed under: Pongo abelii (Sumatran orangutan)
Lineage: Eukaryota; Metazoa; Chordata; Mammalia; Primates; Hominidae
Description: sense intronic
Source: RNAcentral